This 489-nucleotide ribosomal RNA is filed under the name uncultured bacterium. RNAcentral's name for it is "partial 16S ribosomal RNA". It matches the Rfam family "Bacterial small subunit ribosomal RNA", at positions 30 to 507 of the family's 1533-position model. The record is from RNAcentral.
AUUGAACGCUGGCGGCAGGCCUAACACAUGCAAGUCGAACGGUAACAGGAAGCAGCUUGCUGCUUUGCUGACGAGUGGCGGACGGGUGAGUAAUGUCUGGGAAACUGCCCGAUGGAGGGGGAUAACUACUGGAAACGGUAGCUAAUACCGCAUAACGUCGCAAGACCAAAGAGGGGGACCUUAGGGCCUCUUGCCAUCGGAUGUGCCCAGAUGGGAUUAGCUAGUAGGUGGGGUAACGGCUCACCUAGGCGACGAUCCCUAGCUGGUCUGAGAGGAUGACCAGCCACACUGGACCUGAGACACGUUCCAGACUCCUACGGGGGGCAGCAGUGGGGAAUAUUGCACAAUGGGCGCAAGCCUGAUGCAGCAAUGCCGCGUGUAUGAAGAAGGCCUUCGGUUGUAAAGUACUUUCAGCGGGGAGGAAGGGAGUAAAGUUAAUACCUUUGCUCAUUGACGUUACCCGCAGAAGAAGCACCGGCUAACUCCGUG